CUCCUCAUACAGACCGAUAAGUUUAUUUUCGUGUCUAUCAAAAUUCUUUGAAAAAUGCCUUCUAGAAGACAUAAUAUACAGAAGACAUAAUAGUAUCCCAGCACAUCAAUUCGGCUUUCGCGAAAAACAUGGAACUAUCGAACAGAUGAACCGCAUAACAUCAGAAAUUUGUAGUGCAUUUGAAAAUAGGGAAUACUGCACUGCGGAAUUUUUGAACGUCUCUCAAGCAUUCGACAGAGUAUGGCUUGACGGCCUAAUGCAUAAAAUCAAAAUAAUGCUCCCUAAUAAUACGCAAAAACUCUUGAAGUCAUAUCUUUACAACAGGAUAUUUGUUGAGCGAUGCAAUACUUCCAUGUCAGCUGAACAUAACAUCGAAGCUGGAGUUCCUCAAGGCAGAGAUCUCGGGCCAACUUUAUACCUACUCCACACUUCUGAUGUUCCUACGAGCAGACAACUGACUAUGUCUAUGUUUAUGUCCAAAACAAGCAUCAGCGCAACUUGCGGCCCAUCUAGAUGUAGUAGAGAAAUGGCUCUCAGACUGGCAUAUAAAAGUAAAUGAGCAAAAAUGUCAAUUACAAACAUAUUUCGGGGACUUAGCAAUGUAUGGCUGAUUACUUUGAACUCGGACCACUCAUGUAGGUUUACAACAGCGCCAGGAAGUCCUUCUUCUGUCCUCGAUAGAUGUCUCCCAGCGAAGUGGUGGACGCCAAAUUGCCCAGCUCGGCAUCCUGACCAACCAUUUGAUUUUGUGGUAGUGCAGUGUGUGUAGUCCAGCCAACGAAAAAAAUGUUGCGGUGUCCAAAAGAAAAUAAAUUCGAAUUAGACAAAGAUCAAGUAAAUACAAUUGAAUUUGAGAUACAAACCAUUUGUAAAAACAAAUAAACAGAGCAAAGUGUUCCUCUUUUAUGUAAAAACUUUUCGUUGAAUGUCAGAGUAACCGCGGCAACCCAAUAAAAAAAUAUAUUUAAUACCACA
Molecule: long non-coding RNA, 975 nt
Organism: Drosophila subpulchrella
Lineage: Eukaryota; Metazoa; Arthropoda; Insecta; Diptera; Drosophilidae
Exons: 2
Source: RefSeq, a predicted model, not a curated record